This 442-nucleotide ribosomal RNA is filed under the name uncultured bacterium. RNAcentral's name for it is "partial 16S ribosomal RNA". It matches the Rfam family "Bacterial small subunit ribosomal RNA", at positions 338 to 795 of the family's 1533-position model. The record is from RNAcentral.
CCUACGGGAGGCAGCAGUAGGGAAUUUUUCACAAUGGGCGAAAGCCUGAUGGAGCAACGCCGCGUGCAGGAUGAAGGCCUUCGGGUUGUAAACUGCUUUUAUAAGCGAGAAAUAUGAUGGUAACUUAUGAAUAAGGAUCGGCUAACUACGUGCCAGCAGCCGCGGUCAUACGUAGGAUCCGAGCAUUAUCCGGAGUGACUGGGUGUAAAGAGUUGCGUAGGUGGCAUACUAAGUAGCUAGUGAAAUCUGGUGGCUCAACCAUUCAGACUAUUAGCUAAACUGUUAAGCUCGAGACCGUUAGGGGUAACUGGAAUUUCUAGUGUAGGAGUGAAAUCCGUAGAUAUUAGAAGGAACACCAAUAGCGUAGGCAGGUUGCUGGGACGGUUCUGACACUAAGGCACGAAAGCGUAGGGAGCAAACGGGAUUAGAUACCCCAGUAGUC